GGGCAAGUCUUAUACGAUCAGCUCCUACUUAAUCCCCCAGAAUGGGAACAUAGCAAGGGUCGGUGGUUGAGCGAUGCGAUGUAAGUAGCUUGCCCAUU
This 98-nucleotide signal recognition particle RNA is filed under the name bacterium. RNAcentral describes it as "signal recognition particle sRNA small type". It matches the Rfam family "Bacteroidales small SRP". From Rfam's summary of the family: The non-coding component of the signal recognition particle in Bacteroides RNAcentral also lists the same sequence under 1 other name. The record is from RNAcentral.